RNAcentral lists this transfer RNA (71 nucleotides) under Bos taurus (domestic cattle). It matches the Rfam family "tRNA". From Rfam's summary of the family: Transfer RNA (tRNA) molecules are approximately 80 nucleotides in length. The record is from Rfam by way of RNAcentral. RNAcentral also lists the same sequence under 3 other names. Lineage: Eukaryota; Metazoa; Chordata; Mammalia; Artiodactyla; Bovidae.
UCUCUGGUGGUCUGGUGGUUAGGACUCUGCCUUGCAAUGCAGAGACGCAGGUUCGAUCCCUGGUCCGGGAA